This 22-nucleotide microRNA is filed under the name Euprymna scolopes. Its description in RNAcentral is "Esc-Mir-12517_3p (mature (guide))". RNAcentral also lists the same sequence under 2 other names. The record is from RNAcentral. Lineage: Eukaryota; Metazoa; Mollusca; Cephalopoda; Sepiida; Sepiolidae.
CUCGGGAGACAAGUGAGAUGUC